GCUAAUCCUGGUCGGACAUCAGGAGGUUAGUGCAAAGGCAUAAGCUAGCUUGACUGCGAGAGUGACGGCUCGAGCAGGUGCGAAAGCAGGUCUUAGUGAUCCGGUGGUUCUGUAUGGAAGGGCCAUCGCUCAACGGAUAAAAGGUACUCCGGGGAUAACAGGCUGAUACCGCCCAAGAGUUCAUAUCGACGGCGGUGUUUGGCACCUCGAUGUCGGCUCAUCACAUCCUGGGGCUGAAGUAGGUCCCAAGGGUAUGGCUGUUCGCCAUUUAAAGUGGUACGCGAGCUGGGUUUAGAACGUCGUGAGACAGUUCGGUCCCUAUCUGCCGUGGGCGCUGGAGAACUGAGGGGGGCUGCUCCUAGUACGAGAGGACCGGAGUGGACGCAUCACUGGUGUUCGGGUUGUCAUGCCAAUGGCAUUGCCCGGUAGCUAAAUGCGGAAAAGAUAAGUGCUGAAAGCAUCUAAGCACGAAACUUGCCCCAAGAUGAGUUCUCCCUGACUCUUUAAGAGUCCUGAAGGAACGUUGAAGACGACGACGUUGAUAGGCUGGGUGUGUAAGUGUAGCGAUACAUUGAGCUAACCAGUACUAAUGAACCGUGAGGCUUAACCUUACAACGCCGAAG
This 623-nucleotide ribosomal RNA is filed under the name Escherichia albertii. RNAcentral describes it as "partial 23S ribosomal RNA". It matches the Rfam family "Bacterial large subunit ribosomal RNA", at positions 2320 to 2925 of the family's 2925-position model. The record is from RNAcentral. Lineage: Bacteria; Pseudomonadati; Pseudomonadota; Gammaproteobacteria; Enterobacterales; Enterobacteriaceae.